This 141-nucleotide microRNA precursor is filed under the name Ovis aries (sheep). Its description in RNAcentral is "miRNA (ENSOARG00000024312.1)". Lineage: Eukaryota; Metazoa; Chordata; Mammalia; Artiodactyla; Bovidae. The record is from RNAcentral.
CAGGACACCCAGUUAAAUCUGGAUUUCAGAUGACCAGCAAGUAAUCUCGUAGUGUAUGUCUCAUGACACAUUUGGGAUAUACUCAUGCUAAACAGCUAUUCCUUGUUUAUCUGAAAUUCAAAUGUAACUGGGUGUCCUGCA